RNAcentral lists this unclassified non-coding RNA (252 nucleotides) under Hevea brasiliensis (rubber tree). The record is from RNAcentral. Lineage: Eukaryota; Viridiplantae; Streptophyta; Magnoliopsida; Malpighiales; Euphorbiaceae.
UGAUGAUGUGAGGCUCAAAAAGAGGGACAACUUCUGUCUUGUCUAUUGUUGGUAAGCUGUUAUUCCCUUCAUGUCUUGAAUAGCAAGGGAAUGGUAGUUUGGUGCAUCAACUUUGAGUGCUUUUCAGGCAUGGGAACAGUUGAUUCAUAUUCUUCAUCUUUCCCUUGCUAUUUUUCUGUCAUUGUGAAAGGUUCACAGGAAAGAUAUGAUUUGACAUUGUUUAGCAAUUAGUUGUGUUCACUAGCUUGGCAA